Molecule: ribosomal RNA, 393 nt
Filed under: Uroglenopsis americana
Lineage: Eukaryota; Chrysophyceae; Chromulinales; Chromulinaceae
Description: partial small subunit ribosomal RNA
Rfam family: Eukaryotic small subunit ribosomal RNA
Source: RNAcentral
GCUUGUCUCAAAGAUUAAGCCAUGCAUGUCUAAGUAUAAACAAAUCUAUACGUGAAACUGCGAAUGGCUCAUUAUAUCAGUUAUAGUUUAUUUGAUGGUUCAUACUACUUGGAUAACCGUAGUAAUUCUAGAGCUAAUACAUGCGUCAAACCCCGACUCCUGGGAGGGUUGUAUUUAUUAGAUGGAAACCAAUGCGGGGCAACCCGGUAUAUGGUGAUUCAUAAUAACUUUCGGAUCGAUCUUCGGAUCGAUGCAUCAUUCAAGUUUCUGCCCUAUCAGCUUUGGAUGGUAGGGUAUUGGCCUACCAUGGCUUUAACGGGUAACGGAGAAUUAGGGUUCGAUUCCGGAGAGGGAGCCUGAGAAAUGGCUACCACAUCCAAGGAAGGCAGCAGG